Molecule: ribosomal RNA, 373 nt
Filed under: uncultured bacterium
Lineage: Bacteria
Description: bacterial SSU rRNA
Rfam family: Bacterial small subunit ribosomal RNA
Source: RNAcentral
ACAGAGGGUGCGAGCGUUGUCCGGAAUCACUGGGCGUAAAGGGCGCGUAGGCGGCCCGAUAAGUAGGAGGUGAAAUCUUGCGGCUCAACCGCAAGGCUGCCUUCUAAACUGUCAGGCUGGAGCACGGUAGAGGCAGAUGGAAUUCCCGGUGUAGCGGUGGAAUGCGUAGAGAUCGGGAAGAACACCAGUGGCGAAGGCGGUCUGCUGGGCCGUUGCUGACGCUGAGGCGCGACAGCGUGGGGAGCAAACAGGAUUAGAUACCCUGGUAGUCCACGCCGUAAACGAUGGGCACUAGGCGUCGGGGGGAGCGACCCUCCCGGUGCCGUCGCUAACGCAGUAAGUGCCCCGCCUGGGGAGUACGGCCGCAAGGCUG